Molecule: ribosomal RNA, 820 nt
Filed under: Pezicula cinnamomea
Lineage: Eukaryota; Fungi; Ascomycota; Leotiomycetes; Helotiales; Dermateaceae
Description: eukaryotic LSU rRNA
Rfam family: Eukaryotic large subunit ribosomal RNA
Source: RNAcentral
UAGUAACGGCGAGUGAAGCGGUAACAGCUCAAAUUUGAAAUCUGGGUCUUUUAGGCUCCGAGUUGUAAUUUGUAGAAGAUGCUUUGGGUGCGGCCCCGGUCUAAGUUCCUUGGAACAGGACGUCAUAGAGGGUGAGAAUCCCGUAUGUGAUCGGUGGCUUGCGCCCGUGUAAAGCUCUUUCGACGAGUCGGGUUGUUUGGGAAUGCAGCUCUAAAUGGGUGGUAAAUUUCAUCUAAAGCUAAAUAUUGGCCAGAGACCGAUAGCGCACAAGUAGAGUGAUCGAAAGAUGAAAAGCACUUUGGAAAGAGAGUUAAACAGUACGUGAAAUUGUUGAAAGGGAAGCGCUUGCAACCAGACUUGCGCGGGGUUGAUCAUCCGGGGUUCUCCCCGGUGCACUCGGCCUCGCUCAGGCCAGCAUCGGUUUUGGUGGUUGGAUAAAGGCCUUGGGAAUGUGACUUCUUUCGGGGAGUGUUAUAGCCCUCGGUGCAAUGCAGCCUACCGGGACCGAGGACCGCGCUUCGGCUAGGAUGCUGGCGUAAUGGUUGUAAGCGACCCGUCUUGAAACACGGACCAAGGAGUCUAACAUCUAUGCGAGUGUUUGGGUGUCAAACCCAUACGCGUAAUGAAAGUGAACGGAGGUGAGAACCCUUAAGGGUGCAUCAUCGACCGAUCCUGAUGUCUUCGGAUGGAUUUGAGUAAGAGCAUAGCUGUUGGGACCCGAAAGAUGGUGAACUAUGCCUGAAUAGGGUGAAGCCAGAGGAAACUCUGGUGGAGGCUCGCAGCGGUUCUGACGUGCAAAUCGAUCGUCAAAUUUGGGCAU